AAAUUGAAGAGUUUGAUCAUGGCUCAGAUUGAACGCUGGCGGCAGGCCUAACACAUGCAAGUCGAACGGUAACAGGAAGCAGCUUGCUGCUUCGCUGACGAGUGGCGGACGGGUGAGUAAUGUCUGGGAAACUGCCUGAUGGAGGGGGAUAACUACUGGAAACGGUAGCUAAUACCGCAUAACGUCGCAAGACCAAAGGGGGGGACCUUCGGGCCUCUUGCCAUCGGAUGUGCCCAGAUGGGAUUAGCUUGUUGGUGGGGUAACGGCUCACC
Molecule: ribosomal RNA, 272 nt
Filed under: Escherichia coli
Lineage: Bacteria; Pseudomonadati; Pseudomonadota; Gammaproteobacteria; Enterobacterales; Enterobacteriaceae
Also listed under: 1 other name
Description: partial 16S ribosomal RNA
Rfam family: Bacterial small subunit ribosomal RNA
Source: RNAcentral